Molecule: ribosomal RNA, 1440 nt
Filed under: uncultured bacterium
Lineage: Bacteria
Description: bacterial SSU rRNA
Rfam family: Bacterial small subunit ribosomal RNA
Source: RNAcentral
GACGAACGCUGGCGGCGUGCUUAACACAUGCAAGUCGAACGGAAAGGCCCUUCGGGGUACUUGAGUGGCGAACGGGUGAGUAACACGUGGGUGAUCUGCCCUGCACUUCGGGAUAAGCCUGGGAAACUGGGUCUAAUACCGGAUAUGACCUCAGGAUGCAUGUCUUGUGGUGGAAAGCUUUUGCGGUGUGGGAUGGGCCCGCGGCCUAUCAGCUUGUUGGUGGGGUUAAGGCCUACCAAGGCGACGACGGGUAGCCGGCCUGAGAGGGUGACCGGCCACACUGGGACUGAGAUACGGCCCAGACUCCUACGGGAGGCAGCAGUGGGGAAUAUUGCACAAUGGGCGCAAGCCUGAUGCAGCGACGCCGCGUGAGGGACGACGGCCUUCGGGUUGUAAACCUCUUUCAGCACAGACGAAGCGCAAGUGACGGUAUGUGCAGAAGAAGGACCGGCCAACUACGUGCCAGCAGCCGCGGCAAUACGUAGGGUCCGAGCGUUGUCCGGAAUUAUUGGGCGUAAAGAGCUCGUAGGCGGUUCGGCAAGUCGGGUGUGAAAAUCCAGGGCUCAACCCUGGGACGCCACUCGAUACUGCUGUGACUAGAGUCCGGUAGAGGAGCGUGGAAUUCCCGGUGUAGCGGUGAGAUGCGCAGAUAUCAGGAGGAACACCAGCGGCGAAGGCGGCGCUCUGGGCCGGUACUGACGCUGAGGAGCGAAAGCAUGGGGAGCAAACAGGAUUAGAUACCCUGGUAGUCCAUGCCGUAAACGUUGGGCACUAGGUAUGGGGUCUUAUCAACGGAUUCCGUGCCGUAGCUAACGCAUUAAGUGCCCCGCCUGGGGAGUACGGCCGCAAGGCUAAAACUCAAAGGAAUUGACGGGGGCCCGCACAAGCGGCGGAGCAUGUUGCUUAAUUCGAGGCAACGCGAAGAACCUUACCUGGGUUUGACAUGUAGGGAAAAGCCAUAGAGAUAUGGUGUCCUUUUGGGCCCUACACAGGUGGUGCAUGGCUGUCGUCAGCUCGUGUCGUGAGAUGUUGGGUUAAGUCCCGCAACGAGCGCAACCCUUAUCCUAUGUUGCCAGCACGUAACGGUGGGGACUCGUAGGAGACUGCCGGCGUCAAGUCGGAGGAAGGUGGGGACGACGUCAAGUCAUCAUGCCCCUUAUGUCCAGGGCUGCAAACAUGCUACAAUGGCCGGUACAAAGGGCUGCAAGACCGCGAGGUUGAGCGAAUCCCAAAAAGCCGGUCUCAGUUCGGAUUGGAGUCUGCAACUCGACUCCAUGAAGUCGGAGUCGCUAGUAAUCCCGGAUCAGCAACGCCGGGGUGAAUACGUUCCCGGGCCUUGUACACACCGCCCGUCACACCACGAAAGUUGACAUUGGCAGAAGACGUUGCGCCAACCCUUUUGGGGGGCAGGCGUCCAAGCUGGUGUUGAUGACUGGGGUG